GACGGACGCUGGCGGCGUGCUUAACACAUGCAAGUCGAACGCUGAAGCUCAGCUUUUGUUGGGUGGAUGAGUGGCGAACGGGUGAGUAACACGUGAGUAACCUGCCCCCUUCUUUGGGAUAACGCCCGGAAACGGGUGCUAAUACUGGAUAUUCACUGGUCUUCGCAUGGGGGUUGGUGGAAAGGGUUUUUCUGGUGGGGGAUGGGCUCGCGGCCUAUCAGCUUGUUGGUGGGGUGAUGGCCUACCAAGGCUUUGACGGGUAGCCGGCCUGAGAGGGUGACCGGUCACAUUGGGACUGAGAUACGGCCCAGACUCCUACGGGAGGCAGCAGUGGGGAAUAUUGCACAAUGGGCGCAAGCCUGAUGCAGCGACGCCGCGUGAGGGAUGGAGGCCUUCGGGUUGUGAACCUCUUUCGCUCAUGGUCAAGCCGCAACAAUGGUUGUGGUGAGGGUAGUGGGUAAAGAAGCGCCGGCUAACUACGUG
Molecule: ribosomal RNA, 483 nt
Filed under: uncultured bacterium
Lineage: Bacteria
Description: partial 16S ribosomal RNA
Rfam family: Bacterial small subunit ribosomal RNA
Source: RNAcentral